AAGUCGUAACAAGGUUUCCGUAGGUGAACCUGCGGAAGGAUCAUUAAUACGUUUCUAAACAAACGUUUUAAACUCCAAAAUAUUAAUAGUGGAAAUAUAACUUCCGGAUGCAUUUGUAGGAGGGCAGAUAAGACUAACAUUUGAUCUCUCUUUUGAAAAGGAGACUUCAUGCACUUUAUUGUGUGUGACACUUCAGAGUAGAGCAGUGAGGUGAAAACUUCGGUUUUGGUUUCUGAAAUACAUCUGUAUCCGGUUAUUCUCUGUUCUACAACCCUUUUAUUAAACAAUAAACCCCAUGUACAACAACUUGAACUAAACAAAUUUUGUUUUCUCUCUGUGAGAAGAUGAAGUAAAAUCUGAACUUAAGAACAACUCUUAACAACGGAUAUCUUGGUUCUC
RNAcentral lists this unclassified non-coding RNA (399 nucleotides) under fungal sp. Its description in RNAcentral is "partial internal transcribed spacer region". The stretch from base 1 to 46 matches the Rfam family "Eukaryotic small subunit ribosomal RNA", at positions 1786 to 1831 of the family's 1831-position model. Lineage: Eukaryota; Fungi. The record is from RNAcentral.